CUCUCUCUCUCUCACACACACACACACACACACACACACACACACACACACACACACGCAUCUGUCAGCUUGCCCAGGGCAGGAGCUAGGAAGUGUAAUUAACAGAUUGGAUAAGACAAGGUGCUCAUAUGCUAAGGCAGAGCAAAACAAACUAACACAGGCAGUUCAUGUGGCCCACCAUGACUUGGCCCAUCCAUCUGUUUGGGACACACACACACACACACUGUCACGGAGUUACACCAAAUCGUGUCAGUGGGCUAUACGGAACUUUUCUAAUAUGCACGAUGGCCCCUGACAAGAACAAAUGCGUCUAUAAACUAGUAACCUAACAGCACACCAUUCCAUGACAUGUGUAGGUAGCCGUAUAUUCGAUGUGUGUAUAGAUAUGUUAUAAAUACCAAAAGGCCAAAUGAAACAAGCUAAGGUGAAACGAAAGCUCUCUCUCCAGUCCAAACAACGAGGGCAGCCAACCUCGCCCUCUGUAAAUCAUGUCAACAAAACUUCAGACAGACAGUGACGCUAUCAAACCUCGCAUUUCACAUGAGUCAAGCAGCAAUCGACAACAGGUUUGAGGGACGGUGAAGUAAGAUUUGACUUUGCUGUUUGUGAGAAACUAAGUUCGUGUGGCAGAACUUGACAGAUCAGUGGGAACACGCGGUAGGAGGUUGCAUGUGAAACUUAAAAACGCACUUUGUAACUCUCACUGAAGCAUUUGCUAGCUAGCUAACCCAGCUCACAUAUCCAUCUACCGACACUUAACUCAGGGGCAUGCCACAACUUGUCACGAUGCCAGCGCGCAUAAUCAUCUCACUCACUUCCAGUGACUAAUACACGGUGCGUGUUUCGUUACAAAACAUAGCUACCAUAUGACUUCUCCUAAACUCUUAAAUGUCCACCUGCGUUGUGGUUUCCCUACAACAAUAACAUAUUUAGCAGCCGGGAAUGUACAAAAACACCGUUUCCAUGUCGCUAACCUAUUUGGCGAGCCCUGUCGCGUAGUUAGCUCCAUUACGUUACCUGCACAGAGGGUGUUUCCAAAGACAGCUUAGAGAUACACUUUAUCAACUGUUUUUUUUUUUUUCACCGUGAGCUGAGUAAUGAUUCACAAGUUAGCUGCUACUAGAAUCUAAGCCUUUCUCACUGAGAAUGUUUGCGAUCGUCAGUUAUGGCUGUUUGGCUAACAGGAGAACCUCUCGCAAGUAACGUUAAACAGGAGGCUAAAGCGAGCUAAAUAACAACAGUAUAACAAAAGAAGGCUGUGCUGCUCUGAUGGCAGUUCUCUUAUCAAACCCAUCACACCUGACAGAGUCUGAGUGGGAAUAAACUAAGAAACACAUCAGCAAAGCACAUCUCUGAUCUACUGAAGGACUCACGCUGUAAACUGGAGAAACUGAUGCUUAAUGACAACAGGAUAAAAGAAGAAGGCUGCACUGAAAGGGAAUAAACUAGGAGACUCGGAAGAUUUCUGCUCUAAAUGACAAUCAUAAUUCUAAACUACAGACAUUGGAGUGAGUGAAAUAUUUGACAUAAUGUAAAGUGGAAUACUGUACAGAAAUACUGAUGGCAUUCAAGUGAUAUAAUGGAGUAUGAAAUAGUGAGUAAUGAAACAUAAAUAUUGAUGAUAGACUUAGAGUGCCCUCCAUGGCUUGAUUUUUCCUCAUUGUUUUUAUUGUGAGAUUACGAUAUAUCACCAAAAGAUGAUUUUUUAUAACUGUUUUUGGUCAACUUUGCCAGGGGUGCCAAUAAUUCUAAAGGGCAUUGUAUGUAGUAAAUAUACAUAAUUAUACAACAGUUAGGUCCGGUCCAGUCCAAUCCAACGAUCUAUUACAUAUUUCUGAUUGGACGAGAGCCGUUGCAGAGUUGGGAGAUCCCAGGACAUCCCCAUUCAGACUCACCACUCAACCCAGUCUCACGUCUGAACGUGUCACUGUCACGUUAAUUAAUCUAUUGGGACGUGUUGUGUAACACGUUUCCUUGUUAAAAAACGUGUUGAGCAGGACGUAAUUAUCGUGUUACUAUCACGUUGUAUUUCGCAUUCAAUGAGCCAACAGAACCACGUCAUCUGUCAAAAAAGCCCGACCCAAAAUGGCAAGAAUGUUAUUUGAUGCUUUUGACGUGCAGUUUCAUACUCUUAAGCCUGCUUUGAGUUGUGGGUUAGAAGGAGCCACCUUCUAGCUAGCAGUUUUAAAAGGCUGAACCCCAGAAUCCAGAAACAAGAUCCGAGCAGGGACGGAGAAAAAAGAAGAAUCCAAAUGGGAAAUGAGGUGAGCCUUGCUACUGCCGCUAGCAUGAUCAUUUUGCUAGCAAUUGAGCAAAAC
Molecule: long non-coding RNA, 2318 nt
Organism: Alosa alosa (allis shad)
Lineage: Eukaryota; Metazoa; Chordata; Actinopteri; Clupeiformes; Clupeidae
Exons: 3
Source: RefSeq, a predicted model, not a curated record